UAGCUCAGUUGGUAGAGCAUGGUGUUUGCAAUGCCAGGGUUGUGGAUUCGAUUCCCAC
This 58-nucleotide transfer RNA is filed under the name Salmo salar (Atlantic salmon). It matches the Rfam family "tRNA", at positions 8 to 63 of the family's 71-position model. From Rfam's summary of the family: Transfer RNA (tRNA) molecules are approximately 80 nucleotides in length. Their secondary structure includes four short double-helical elements and three loops (D, anti-codon, and T loops). The record is from Rfam by way of RNAcentral. Lineage: Eukaryota; Metazoa; Chordata; Actinopteri; Salmoniformes; Salmonidae. RNAcentral also lists the same sequence under 1 other name.